UAGAGUUUGAUCCUGGCUCAGAUUGAACGCCGGCGGCAUGCCUUACACAUGCAAGUCGGACGGCAGCGCGGGCUUCGGCCUGGCGGCGAGUGGCGAACGGGUGAGUAAUACAUCGGAACGUGUCCUGGAGUGGGGGAUAGCCCGGCGAAAGCCGGAUUAAUACCGCAUACGCUCUGCGGAGGAAAGCGGGGGACCUUCGGGCCUCGCGCUCAAGGGGCGGCCGAUGGCAGAUUAGCUAGUUGGUGGGGUAAAGGCCUACCAAGGCGACGAUCUGUAGCUGGUCUGAGAGGACGACCAGCCACACUGGGACUGAGACACGGCCCAGACUCCUACGGGAGGCAGCAGUGGGGAAUUUUGGACAAUGGGGGCAACCCUGAUCCAGCAAUGCCGCGUGUGUGAAGAAGGCCUUCGGGUUGUAAAGCACUUUUGUCCGGAAAGAAAGCGUCCUGGCUAAUACCCGGGGCGGAUGACGGUACCGGAAGAAUAAGCACCGGCUAACUACGUGCCAGCAGCCGCGGUAAUACGUAGGGUGCGAGCGUUAAUCGGAAUUACUGGGCGUAAAGCGUGCGCAGGCGGUUCGCUAAGACCGAUGUGAAAUCCCCGGGCUUAACCUGGGAACUGCAUUGGUGACUGGCGGGCUAGAGUAUGGCAGAGGGAGGUAGAAUUCCACGUGUAGCAGUGAAAUGCGUAGAGAUGUGGAGGAAUACCGAUGGCGAAGGCAGCCUCCUGGGCCAAUACUGACGCUCAUGCACG
RNAcentral lists this ribosomal RNA (753 nucleotides) under bacterium enrichment culture clone SC-2_57. RNAcentral's name for it is "bacterial SSU rRNA". It matches the Rfam family "Bacterial small subunit ribosomal RNA", at positions 1 to 755 of the family's 1533-position model. The record is from RNAcentral.